RNAcentral lists this transfer RNA (82 nucleotides) under Verrucomicrobiota bacterium. RNAcentral's name for it is "Verrucomicrobia bacterium (gut metagenome) tRNA-Leu". It matches the Rfam family "tRNA". Rfam says of the family: Transfer RNA (tRNA) molecules are approximately 80 nucleotides in length. Their secondary structure includes four short double-helical elements and three loops (D, anti-codon, and T loops). The record is from RNAcentral. RNAcentral also lists the same sequence under 1 other name. Lineage: Bacteria; Pseudomonadati; Verrucomicrobiota.
GCGCGAGUGGUGAAAUGGCAGACACGCCAGACUUAGGAUCUGGUCCGCAAGGGUGGGGGUUCAAGUCCCCCCUCGCGCACCA